GCGGCUGUAGCUCAGGGGUAGAGCUCCAGUUUCACAAACUGGAGGCCGUGGGUUCGAAUCCCAUUCGCCGCU
RNAcentral lists this transfer RNA (72 nucleotides) under Ferruginibacter sp. RNAcentral's name for it is "tRNA-Val". It matches the Rfam family "tRNA". Rfam says of the family: Transfer RNA (tRNA) molecules are approximately 80 nucleotides in length. The record is from RNAcentral. Lineage: Bacteria; Pseudomonadati; Bacteroidota; Chitinophagia; Chitinophagales; Chitinophagaceae.